This is a long non-coding RNA of Anopheles stephensi (Asian malaria mosquito), 6512 nucleotides long. RefSeq lists it as uncharacterized. The transcript has 4 exons. NCBI's taxonomy places the organism in Eukaryota, Metazoa, Arthropoda, Insecta, Diptera, Culicidae. The record is from RefSeq and is a predicted model, not a curated record.
UUUUGAAAAAAAAGAAAAGGAAACUCGAACGAGGUCUGGAGGGUGUGGACGAGCAACAUUGUGUCUCACCAGGCGCCCGCUAACGAAGGUGUGCCUCGCGUUGAGCGCAGAGGUUGUGUGACAUAUAUUUAGUCGGUGUGCUGUUGAACGCAUCAUAAUGACACCCAUUCAAGAUUCCUGUGGCUCGUCGCGUCGCUGCCCUCCGAUAAGAGUUCCGUGUGUGGUGAUCUUCAUUUCCUAAAACAAAUGAUGACGACGAACGCCGUGGUGGUGGUGGUUGCCCAAUUCCUAUCUACUACGAUCUUAUCACGGGCAGGUGGAGUGCAGCGUGAGAUGAACAGUGUAGGGGAGAGAGACCACACGUCAUCGUUUUGUGUCGCGUAUGCUUGUCUCGUGCUGAGUGGCCAGCAUCAACGCUAGAGCUUCACCACGUGCGAUGAUCAACACUCAGUGGCGACGGGGAUUGCGCGUGUUUUUUUUUUUUGGGGGGAUAAAGAUUCAUUGAGCGCCACAUGAGUUCGCGAUCUCGCCCACUCGAGAUCCUACCCGGCGCUCUUGGAUUUCGCUUAGUUCGGUGGAUUAGGGAGAGAGCGGGCCAAUCGUCUCGGGUUGCCAGUGGUCAUCAAACGGCAUCGCCUGAAGCGACAAAGCAUUUCGUCAACUCUUCAACGAUCACAAGGAUCAAGCUGAACGAGGACGGCGUACUUCCAAAACAUAAGGUCUGAUGGGUGGAAGAAGGCGAGCUCAGAAAGCAGAUGAGAAGACAGAGCUAUUCGCACCUGGUAGCCAAGUGUCGUAUUGGGAUCAGAGCGAAAGGCUAAGACGCUGAUGUGGAGAAGGCUAGAAAAAGCAUCGAAAGAACGAAGAAUGCUCCCUUCGAGUCAAACCCCGAAGGAUUUAGAGGAAAUGCUUGCUGAGGAGUCCAAAUCGAAGAACUAUACUCCUUUUUCCUAGAUGAUAAGGACCACAAGUUCAAAAGAAGCUCAACAAAUCGGCAAAAAUCCCGUGAGUUCUGCUGUUUUUGAGAGCUCUAGCCAGUAUUUGCAGGCAUUUAAUGUAGCAAUUUUACUUAAAAACAACCAAUUAUAAGCCUAUAGUCAGUUGAACGUAUCGAAAAACUAAGUACAGCUUAAGUUUAUCGAGGAAAGGUACUAAAAAGGGGGUAAAAACUCGAAAAACUAAUGCCACCACGUUUAAAGUACCAGUAAAGAGAAUAAAAAACAGACCCAAACUUAAAGAACUAAAAUAAACAUGGAGUAGAGACUUAUAAAACAGUUAGAAUAGAUAAUCGUAACGACACGGAAAGACUAUAAAACAGCAACAAAAAAAAUCAAGAAGAAAAGAAAAAAGCACUGUAAAAUAAUAAAAAAUACGAAUUUAGACAGCAAAAACAUAAAAAGUAGGUUAAAAUGAGAAAAAACUAUAAUUUCGCGAGAAAACUAAGAGAAAAGCGAAGGAAAUGCAAGUCAGAGCAAUGAAAAUAAAAGAAAACAUGUAAUAAACACAAAGGAAAACAUAGAAAAAGAAUACGCACACAUAACGACAUGAAAAGACAAGAAAACAACAAAUUAUACCAAAAAGAAGAAAACAAAACAAGAUACAGCUAUAAGAAAUGUAAAAUAUACAGUAUAAAAUGGAAAAUACGAAAUUAAACAGCAAGAAUAGACAAAUAAACAGCAAGAAAAAAAAACAUAAACGGUAAAACAAUAGUAAGAAAACAAAGUAAAACAGUAAGAUUGGUUUAAAUAGACGAAAAGAAAAGAAGAAAAAUAGGAAGAAAAGAAAGAAAAACAAUUAAAAAGUGCAUUUUAAGCUUAAGAGAUAAAAAUAAUGCUAAUUAAUAACAAAACUAACACUUAAAUAUAUUUAGAGUAAUUCGAAAGAAAACCCGAAAAAGUUUAAUAACAAUACCAUCAAAAACAUUUCUGAUCAAAUUUAUGCGUUUUAUUAAAUUUUGGACCGGUCUUAUUAUGUUGACUAGCACUGUAUCCGAAACGGGCAUUAAAAUGGCAUCCUCCCCUAGUUUGGAUGCUCUCCUGGUAUCGUGGAUAAAAUUUUGGUUCGGAAAAAGUAACAGGCGGAGCAACGAUCGACGUGCGGCAAAUGUGUUACCUCCUGUUUUGGAUGCUGCCCUGGUAUCGAAAACUGGAUUUUGGAUCAAUUUCGGUUCGAAAAAAGUAAGUCGCCGUGAAUCGAAUGAUACCUCCUGAAAAGGAUGCUCUCCUGGUAUCGGAAACCAAAUUUAAGGCCAAUUUUAUUUCGGGCGAAAAUACCCGGCGCCGUCGGAUAAAUGUUACCUCCUGCUGUGGAUGCUCUCCUGUUAUCGACGAUCGAAUUUUCGAUCAAUUUUUUUUCGUCAAAAGUACCAGGCUCAUCAGGCGGAUCGAAAGGUUGCCUCCUGAUGUGGAUGCUCGCCUGGUAUCGAAGAUCGAAUUUUCGUCACUUUUUGCGCCGGCUAUCUGGGAUCGCCGAAGAAACAAUUCUACCUUCUCCUCGCUGGGAUGAUGCUCGCCUGGUAUCCGAAAUCAAGUUUCGGCAGAAAAGUUUCUCAUUUUCGGGGCAAUGUUUUAAAAAUAUAUUUUUGUAUAGUAAUAAAAACACACAGAACCAAAUCACCCUUUUAUUGGUAGUUAUUAAUUCAUUUAUUUUCAUUUAUCGCGUGCAUUCGAAUAAUUUCUUCUUUUUUUUGUUUGUUGUUUUGCUUAUUUUCUUCUUCUCCUAAUCUCUUUCGCGUUCUCUCGCUCUCUCUCUCUCUCUCUCUUCUCAUUCGCUCGUACACGCACACACACAUCCAGUUCUUUCGCACGUCGCUUGUUUUCCUUGUCUUAUACAAACGUUCGUGUGUUUUCUUCCUCCUUUCUUAUCUUUCUCUACAAUUCUAUGCGCGUGUGUGUUUUUGUUUAUUUUGUUUGUUUGUUAAUACACAGCUGGUUUCAUUCAUUCAUUUCUAUCCUUCUUUUUCUUCCUCUUUUUCUUCACGCUUUUUUCCACAGGAGUGUAUCAGGAGUGUUUUCUUUCCUUCUCUUGUUCUCUCGUUUCACUUUCUUCUCCGUUUGUUCCUUUCUACCGCUUUUCUACUUCUAUAUCCCUCCUUCUUCCCUUCUUCUUGUUCUGUUUUACUGUUUGCAUUUCUUCUUUUUUGAGGGGGAAGGAUUUGUGUUUUCUUAUACGGGUUUUGUUAAGCUUUGUUUUCUUCUUUUACUCCAUUUUGUUUUUCCCCACUAGAAGCUAGGCAGUAGUAAACUCCCCGUCUUUAAUAUCCUUUUCUCUCUUUUCUCUCUCUCUUAUCUCGUUUGUUUUUGUUUCACUCUCACGGAAAUAAUUUAAUUACGCUUUUUAUAAUCUGUGUUUUGGGGGUUUUUCUUCCUCUCUACUUUUCUUCUUUCCAUUUUUUUGCCCGUUUUGUUUUGUAAUUCUUCCUCCUUCUUUCUUCUCUUGCUUUAUAUAUGUUUAUCCGAUGUUAAUAUAUAGGGGUAAUGGCUUCCUGAUGAGUGUGAGUGUGUUUUUCUUCUUCUUCUUCUUCUUCUUCUUUGAGUUCUCUUUUGCUUUCUCUGGGAAUGGAUGGGAUGGGGCGAUGCGUUCCUCUUCCUGAUAUCGGCUAUUGCUAUUCUUCCUGACCUGGUGCAUGUGUGGGCGGCGUGUUGUCCAAUACGCACACACGCAAGCAGUAUUGCUUUCAGUAACUGCGAGAGCGUUCCUUUUCUCUCUCCCUCUCUCGUUAUUGGUUUAUCAAGGGAGAGGAAGAGCUUGUUAAGAAGGAGGGCGAGAGCUAAUGGUGAUGUUUGUUGGUUUGUUUUCGCUACUAUUUUAAACUUGGUUUUGCCCUAUAUUGUUGUGUCUGGCUGUGUUUAUGUGUGUUUGUAUGAGAGCUUAAGCUUCGUAUAUGGCACCCCUUCUUCUUUUUCUUCUUCUGGUUUUUUAUUCAAACUAUUGCCAACCGACGGAAGGGGGAAAAAGAGGGAAAAAUCGUGUCUUUAUGUGUGUCUUUGUCUGUGUGUGUCUGGCGCUAACUAAACAAUAAAGCGAUUGUCACUAGAUGUGUUUUAGUGUGUGUGUGUUAACAACUCUAUUUUUGUUUGCUCGCUGUGUUAUAGGUUUGUUCCUUCGCAGAAACGAUUCGACAAGAUAGAGAAUGGAGUGUUUUGUUUUGUUUUGAGGAAAGCUUCUACUUAUACAAAUUCACAUUGUGUUAUUAGUUUAGUUAUUCCUAAGCAUACUUUUGCUAUUAUAGCGCUACCGUUAACAGGCUCACCGGCGUGUGUGUGUGUGUGGUUUAAUGGUGGCGUUUUGGUUGUUUUCUUCUUCUUGCUCGGGAGACACGACGCUUCUACUGAGCGGGACAACAUUUUUUUUUGUUUAAACAAUUCUUCUUCCUUCUUUCUCUUUAUGUGUGUGUGUAUUUUUUGUUUGUUUGUUUUCUUUAUAAAAAGGGCGGAUUCGUAAAACUGUACCAUUUUUGCUUCUUCUUCUUCUAUCUCUUUUGCUUCUUCUGCUUCUUCUUCUCUUUAAGGUUUUUUGUUAUGUUUUCUAGCGCUUUUAACUCAUAAAUUUUAACUGGUUUUUUUUUUCGUUUGAAUUUUCUCUCGUUUUCUUUCUUUCUUCCACUUCCAGUUUUAAGCUGCGCGUGUAUUUUUACGUGUCUGUGGUGCGGGAUUUGAGUUUUCUAUUUGCUGUGUUACACUACUUAUUUGCUGUUUUAUUCCUGCUCUUUUUUGCGUCUUUUCUUGUUUUAAUUUUCCUUCUUCUUCUUCUUCUUCUUCUAUUCGAUUAGGGAGAAAAAGAGCGCUUUAGGUAACGUAAUUAGUGUUUGCUUAGUGUUUAGAAAUAGAGAGGGGAAAAAGAGAGGAAUGGAGGCCUUUGGCUGGCUGGGCGAACAAUGGGAGCUGUUUGGUUUUGCGGUUGGAGACUUGGCCAGGGGGGUGGGGUAACGUUGUGUUUGCUGCUUUUGUUUCUGUGUUUUGUGAUUAAUUUAAUUUGUUUCGCAUAUUUAUCUUCUUUGUGUUUCUUAGUGUGUGUGUGUGUUUUUGUAUGUUUCAUUCUCCUUCUUUCGUUUGCCUUCUUCCUUUGUUUAUUUAUUUAUUGGUUUUCUAAAACCGCCUAAUAACAGCAGGAAGUACCGACCAAGCGACGAUAUUUGCAUAUUUUACGUGUUACUGCUCUUCUUCCGUUUGCUCGUAUUAUUCGAUCACACUAAUCACUCUCGUUUACACAGCGCGUUCGGUUGCCUCACACAAACAUUCACUUUCGAGUCCCCGGAAGCGGACUCUGACGCAACGCAAUCACCUACUUAUACACACAAAGUAUGAGAAUUUCUGUAAGCAAAACCUGUACUCUUUUCAUUCCUUUUUGUCUAGUUUUGCAUUCACCGUUUCUAGUAGUCUUUCAUGUAACCGUAAUUAUUAUUUGCAUUAGCUUGAUUAUUUGCGAAUUGCGUCCGCAUGACACACGGCCCUUUUUCUUGUUUUUCUUUUUUCCUUGCGUUUGCUAUUUACACGACUGUUUCUUACCUUUUUAUCUCUCGCCGCUGUUGUUUAUUGUAGUUUUAUAAUAUGUAUAGUAUAUGAAUUACUAAAAGUAAUAUUUACUGCCUUUACUACUGCCGACGUCUGGCUUUAAAUCAGUGUGGUAAAGUAACGCAAAACUCACGCACACACACAUGCUCACCACCUUUUUUUUCUUCUCUUUUACUCAAAGUGUGUGUGUGUGCUGGUUUCUGUCUUCAAGUCGAAUUAAACAAUUUAUCCAUUGUGGCUUUAACCUUCUCUUUUUUGUUGUAAGGUUUAAACGUUUUAUCUAAGUGUAGCGGCGUUUGUUUUUUUGUAGUCAGUUUUUAGCGUUAAAUGUACUGAUUUUUAUCUUUUUUUUUACUCUUCUCUUUUCCUAUUUUUUAUUUUUGUUUUUUUCAAGGAAGGGCGAGUGUUGUCUUUCCUUCAGCAGCAUCGCUUCACUAUCCCUUUAGUAACUGAACUAAAUAAUGUUUUGCUCUAUGGGGUUUUUUAGUAUUAUAAAUCUUCCGGGUUAAUCUCCGAUUUUAAGUACGCAUUUUGGAGGUGAUUAGUAAACUGCUUUGCUGUGUAAGUGUGAGGAUUUUUUUUACACAAUGAUUUUUGAAAGGGUUGAUGGUUAAGGAAGUGUGUGUGUGUGUGUGGGUUUCAAAAUGACUUUUGCCUAAAACUUCUGUCCCUCGACCCUGCGCGCGAGAGACGACCGUUGUCCGUUGUCUGUCUGACUGUCCGUGGGGUUGUGUCUUUAUUUUCGAGUCUUUUUUGUCCCUAUACUUCAAGUAGAAGGGCAGUGUGUAUGUAUGGGCUGAGUGGUGUUCAAAAUGAAGCUAGAUGGAAUUAUUAUACAAUCCGAACAAUCCUUUUAUCUUAUACCCACUCUUACACCAUCUUGUCGCAUUUUUGAAGAGAGAAAAAAAGAGCUGCAUUAUUUAUACUUUUAUGAAAACCACUGUGUCAUUAGUUCGAUUAGGUAAAUAAAUUACACAAAAAAGUCGAAAAUUACCAAAA